RNAcentral lists this ribosomal RNA (2717 nucleotides) under Escherichia coli. Its description in RNAcentral is "partial 23S ribosomal RNA". It matches the Rfam family "Bacterial large subunit ribosomal RNA". Lineage: Bacteria; Pseudomonadati; Pseudomonadota; Gammaproteobacteria; Enterobacterales; Enterobacteriaceae. The record is from RNAcentral.
GGAACUGAAACAUCUAAGUACCCCGAGGAAAAGAAAUCAACCGAGAUUCCCCCAGUAGCGGCGAGCGAACGGGGAGGAGCCCAGAGCCUGAAUCAGUGUGUGUGUUAGUGGAAGCGUCUGGAAAGGCGCGCGAUACAGGGUGACAGCCCCGUACACAAAAAUGCACAUAUUGUGAGCUCGAUGAGUAGGGCGGGACACGUGGUAUCCUGUCUGAAUAUGGGGGGACCAUCCUCCAAGGCUAAAUACUCCUGACUGACCGAUAGUGAACCAGUACCGUGAGGGAAAGGCGAAAAGAACCCCGGCGAGGGGAGUGAAAAAGAACCUGAAACCGUGUACGUACAAGCAGUGGGAGCCUCUUUAUGGGGUGACUGCGUACCUUUUGUAUAAUGGGUCAGCGACUUAUAUUCUGUAGCAAGGUUAACCGAAUAGGGGAGCCGAAGGGAAACCGAGUCUUAACUGGGCGUUAAGUUGCAGGGUAUAGACCCGAAACCCGGUGAUCUAGCCAUGGGCAGGUUGAAGGUUGGGUAACACUAACUGGAGGACCGAACCGACUAAUGUUGAAAAAUUAGCGGAUGACUUGUGGCUGGGGGUGAAAGGCCAAUCAAACCGGGAGAUAGCUGGUUCUCCCCGAAAGCUAUUUAGGUAGCGCCUCGUGAAUUCAUCUCCGGGGGUAGAGCACUGUUUCGGCAAGGGGGUCAUCCCGACUUACCAACCCGAUGCAAACUGCGAAUACCGGAGAAUGUUAUCACGGGAGACACACGGCGGGUGCUAACGUCCGUCGUGAAGAGGGAAACAACCCAGACCGCCAGCUAAGGUCCCAAAGUCAUGGUUAAGUGGGAAACGAUGUGGGAAGGCCCAGACAGCCAGGAUGUUGGCUUAGAAGCAGCCAUCAUUUAAAGAAAGCGUAAUAGCUCACUGGUCGAGUCGGCCUGCGCGGAAGAUGUAACGGGGCUAAACCAUGCACCGAAGCUGCGGCAGCGACACUAUGUGUUGUUGGGUAGGGGAGCGUUCUGUAAGCCUGUGAAGGUGGCCUGUGAGGGUUGCUGGAGGUAUCAGAAGUGCGAAUGCUGACAUAAGUAACGAUAAAGCGGGUGAAAAGCCCGCUCGCCGGAAGACCAAGGGUUCCUGUCCAACGUUAAUCGGGGCAGGGUGAGUCGACCCCUAAGGCGAGGCCGAAAGGCGUAGUCGAUGGGAAACAGGUUAAUAUUCCUGUACUUGGUGUUACUGCGAAGGGGGGACGGAGAAGGCUAUGUUGGCCGGGCGACGGUUGUCCCGGUUUAAGCGUGUAGGCUGGUUUUCCAGGCAAAUCCGGAAAACCAAGGCUGAGGCGUGAUGACGAGGCACUACGGUGCUGAAGCGACAAAUGCCCUGCUUCCAGGAAAAGCCUCUAAGCAUCAGGUAACAUCAAAUCGUACCCCAAACCGACACAGGUGGUCAGGUAGAGAAUACCAAGGCGCUUGAGAGAACUCGGGUGAAGGAACUAGGCAAAAUGGUGCCGUAACUUCGGGAGAAGGCACGCUGAUAUGUAGGUGAAGCGACUUGCUCGUGGAGCUGAAAUCAGUCGAAGAUACCAGCUGGCUGCAACUGUUUAUUAAAAACACAGCACUGUGCAAACACGAAAGUGGACGUAUACGGUGUGACGCCUGCCCGGUGCCGGAAGGUUAAUUGAUGGGGUUAGCGGUAACGCGAAGCUCUUGAUCGAAGCCCCGGUAAACGGCGGCCGUAACUAUAACGGUCCUAAGGUAGCGAAAUUCCUUGUCGGGUAAGUUCCGACCUGCACGAAUGGCGUAAUGAUGGCCAGGCUGUCUCCACCCGAGACUCAGUGAAAUUGAACUCGCUGUGAAGAUGCAGUGUACCCGCGGCAAGACGGAAAGACCCCGUGAACCUUUACUAUAGCUUGACACUGAACAUUGAGCCUUGAUGUGUAGGAUAGGUGGGAGGCUUUGAAGUGUGGACGCCAGUCUGCAUGGAGCCGACCUUGAAAUACCACCCUUUAAUGUUUGAUGUUCUAACGUUGGCCCGUAAUCCGGGUUGCGGACAGUGUCUGGUGGGUAGUUUGACUGGGGCGGUCUCCUCCUAAAGAGUAACGGAGGAGCACGAAGGUUGGCUAAUCCUGGUCGGACAUCAGGAGGUUAGUGCAAUGGCAUAAGCCAGCUUGACUGCGAGCGUGACGGCGCGAGCAGGUGCGAAAGCAGGUCAUAGUGAUCCGGUGGUUCUGAAUGGAAGGGCCAUCGCUCAACGGAUAAAAGGUACUCCGGGGAUAACAGGCUGAUACCGCCCAAGAGUUCAUAUCGACGGCGGUGUUUGGCACCUCGAUGUCGGCUCAUCACAUCCUGGGGCUGAAGUAGGUCCCAAGGGUAUGGCUGUUCGCCAUUUAAAGUGGUACGCGAGCUGGGUUUAGAACGUCGUGAGACAGUUCGGUCCCUAUCUGCCGUGGGCGCUGGAGAACUGAGGGGGGCUGCUCCUAGUACGAGAGGACCGGAGUGGACGCAUCACUGGUGUUCGGGUUGUCAUGCCAAUGGCACUGCCCGGUAGCUAAAUGCGGAAGAGAUAAGUGCUGAAAGCAUCUAAGCACGAAACUUGCCCCGAGAUGAGUUCUCCCUGAGACUUAGAGUCUCCUGAAGGAACGUUGAAGACGACGACGUUGAUAGGCCGGGUGUGUAAGCGCAGCGAUGCGUUGAGCUAACCGGUACUAAUGAACCGUGAGGCUUAACCUU